Molecule: ribosomal RNA, 403 nt
Filed under: uncultured bacterium
Lineage: Bacteria
Description: partial 16S ribosomal RNA
Rfam family: Bacterial small subunit ribosomal RNA
Source: RNAcentral
AUUGAACGCUGGCGGCAGGCCUAACACAUGCAAGUCGAGCGAGCGGCGGACGGGUGAGUAAUGUAUGGGGACUGCCCGAUAGAGGGGGAUAACUACUGGAAACGGUGGCUAAUACCGCAUACUAUCGGAUAACCCAUAUGGGAUUAGCUAGUAGGUGGGGUAAAGGCUCACCUAGGCGACGAUCUCUAGCUGGUCUGAGAGGAUAAUUAGCCACACUGGGGCCUGGAAACGGUCCAGAAUCCUACGGAAGCAGGAGUGGGGAAAAUUGCACAAUUGGGGCAAGCCUGAUGCAGCCAUGCCGCGGGUAUGAAAGAGGCCUUAGGGGUUUUAAGUAAUUUCCGCGGGGAGGCGUUGCCCGCAGAAGAAGCACCGGCUAACUCCGUGCCAGCAGCCGCGGUAAUUC